GACGAACGCUGGAGGCGUGCUUAACACAUGCAAGUCGAACGAUGAUGCUCCAGCUUUGUUGGGGUGGAUUAGUGGCGAACGGGUGAGUAACACGUGAGUAACCUGCCCUCUUCUUUGGGAUAACGGUCGGAAACGGCUGCUAAUACUGGAUAUUCACUCAUUGGCGCAUGUUGGUGGGUGGAAAGGUUUUUUCUGGUGGGGGAUGGGCUCGCGGCCUAUCAGCUUGUUGGUGGGGUGAUGGCCUACCAAGGCUUUGACGGGUAACCGGCCUGAGAGGGUGACCGGUCACAUUGGGACUGAGAUACGGCCCAGACUCCUACGGGAGGCAGCAGUGGGGAAUUUUGCACAAUGGGCGCAAGCCUGAUGCAGCGACGCCGCGUGAGGGAUGAAGGCCUUCGGGUUGUAAACCUUUUUCGCUCAUGGUCAAGCCGCAGCUUUGGGUUGUGGUGAGGGUAGUGGGUAAAGAAGCGCCGGCUAACUACGUGCCAGCAGCCGCGGUAAUACGUAGGGCGCGAGCGUUGUCCGGAAUUAUUGGGCGUAAAGGGCUUGUAGGCGGUUGGCCGCGUCUGCCGUGAAAUCCUCUGGCUUAACUGGGGGCGUGCGGUGGGUACGGGUUGACUUGAGUGCGGUAGGGGAGACUGGAAUUCCUGGUGUAGCGGUGGAAUGCGCAGAUAUCAGGAGGAACACCGGUGGCGAAGGCGGGUCUCUGGGCCGUUACUGACGCUGAGGAGCGAAAGCGUGGGGAGCGAACAGG
This 754-nucleotide ribosomal RNA is filed under the name uncultured Actinomyces sp. Its description in RNAcentral is "bacterial SSU rRNA". It matches the Rfam family "Bacterial small subunit ribosomal RNA", at positions 28 to 776 of the family's 1533-position model. The record is from RNAcentral. Lineage: Bacteria; Bacillati; Actinomycetota; Actinomycetes; Actinomycetales; Actinomycetaceae.